RNAcentral lists this ribosomal RNA (615 nucleotides) under uncultured bacterium. RNAcentral describes it as "bacterial SSU rRNA". It matches the Rfam family "Bacterial small subunit ribosomal RNA", at positions 29 to 689 of the family's 1533-position model. The record is from RNAcentral.
AUGAACGCUGGCGGUCUGCUUAACACAUGCAAGUCGAACGAACUCUUCGGAGUGAGUGGCGGACGGGUGAGUAACGCGUGAGAAUCUGCCUGUGGGUCGGGGACAACCACUGGAAACGGUGGCUAAUACCGGAUGAGCCGAAAGGUAAAAAAUUUAUUGCCCACAGAUGAGCUCGCGUCUGAUUAGCUAGUUGGUAAGGUAAAAGCGUACCAAGGCGACGAUCAGUAGCUGGUCUGAGAGGAUGAGCAGCCACACUGGGACUGAGACACGGCCCAGACUCCUACGGGAGGCAGCAGUGGGGAAUUUUCCGCAAUGGGCGAAAGCCUGACGGAGCAAGACCGCGUGGGGGAGGAAGGUUUUUGGAUCGUAAACCCCUUUUGUCAAGGAAGAAGUUCUGACGGUACUUGACGAAUAAGCCUCGGCUAACUCCGUGCCAGCAGCCGCGGUAAUACGGAGGAGGCAAGCGUUAUCCGGAAUGAUUGGGCGUAAAGCGUCUGUAGGUGGCCAGCUAAGUCUGCUGUUAAAGAUCACAGCUCANCUGUGGGAAGGCAGUGGAAACUGGCAAGCUAGAGGCUGGUAGGGGUAAAGGGAAUUCCCGGUGUAGCGGUGAAAUGC